RNAcentral lists this ribosomal RNA (445 nucleotides) under uncultured bacterium. RNAcentral describes it as "partial 16S ribosomal RNA". It matches the Rfam family "Bacterial small subunit ribosomal RNA", at positions 354 to 796 of the family's 1533-position model. The record is from RNAcentral.
GUGAGGAAUAUUGCGCAAUGGAGGCAACUCUGACGCAGCCAUGCCGCGUGCAGGAAGAAGGCGCUACGCGUUGUAAACUGCUUUUAACCGGGAAGAAACCCCAGGACGUGUCCUGGGUUGACGGUACCGGAGGAAUAAGCACCGGCUAACUUCGUGCCAGCAGCCGCGGUAAUACGAAGGGUGCAAGCGUUAUCCGGAUUCAUGGGGAUUAAAGGGUGCGUAGGCGGAGCGUUAAGUCAGUGGUGAAAUCCUGCAGCUUAACUGUAGACUUGCCAUUGAUACUGGCGCUCUUGAGUGCGCUUGAAGUGGGCGGAAUGUGCCGUGUAGCGGUGAAAUGCUUAGAUAUGGCACAGAACACCAAUUGCGAAGGCAGCUCACUAAGGCGAUACUGACGCUGAGGCACGAAAGCGUGGGGAUCGAACAGGAUUAGAUACCCCUGUAGUCC